RNAcentral lists this transfer RNA (74 nucleotides) under Rattus norvegicus (Norway rat). It matches the Rfam family "tRNA". From Rfam's summary of the family: Transfer RNA (tRNA) molecules are approximately 80 nucleotides in length. Their secondary structure includes four short double-helical elements and three loops (D, anti-codon, and T loops). The record is from Rfam by way of RNAcentral. Lineage: Eukaryota; Metazoa; Chordata; Mammalia; Rodentia; Muridae.
GGGGAUUUAGCUCAGUGGUAGAGCGCUUGCCUAGCAAGCACAAGGCCCUGGCCUGGGUUCGGUCCCCAGCUCCG